This 405-nucleotide ribosomal RNA is filed under the name uncultured bacterium. RNAcentral describes it as "bacterial SSU rRNA". It matches the Rfam family "Bacterial small subunit ribosomal RNA", at positions 354 to 776 of the family's 1533-position model. The record is from RNAcentral.
GUGGGGAAUAUUGGGCAAUGGGCGCAAGCCUGACCCAGCAACGCCGCGUGAAGGAAGAAGGUCUUCGGAUUGUAAACUUUUGUCUUAUGGGACGAUAAUGACGGUACCAUAGGAGGAAGCCACGACUAACUACGUGCCAGCAGUCGCGGUAAUACGUAGGUGGCAAGCGUUAUCCGGAAUUAUUGGGUGUAAAGGGUGCGUAGGCGGGAUGUAAAGUCAGAUGUGAAAUGCCGCAGCUUAACUGCGGAGCUGCAUUUGAAACUUACGUUCUUGAGUGAAGUAGAGGUAAGCGGAAUUCCUAGUGUAGCGGUGAAAUGCGUAGAUAUUAGGAGGAACACCGGUGGCGAAGGCGGCUUACUGGGCUUAAACUGACGCUGAGGCACGAAAGUGUGGGGAGCAAACAGG